Molecule: transfer RNA, 85 nt
Filed under: Lentinula aff. boryana
Lineage: Eukaryota; Fungi; Basidiomycota; Agaricomycetes; Agaricales; Omphalotaceae
Description: tRNA-Ile
Rfam family: tRNA
About the family: Transfer RNA (tRNA) molecules are approximately 80 nucleotides in length. Their secondary structure includes four short double-helical elements and three loops (D, anti-codon, and T loops). Further hydrogen bonds mediate the characteristic L-shaped molecular structure. tRNAs have two regions of fundamental functional importance: the anti-codon, which is responsible for specific mRNA codon recognition, and the 3' end, to which the tRNAs corresponding amino acid is attached (by aminoacyl-tRNA synthetases). tRNAs cope with the degeneracy of the genetic code in two manners: having more than one tRNA (with a specific anti-codon) for a particular amino acid; and 'wobble' base-pairing, i.e. permitting non-standard base-pairing at the 3rd anti-codon position.
Source: RNAcentral
GGCCGACUAGCUCAGUUGGUUAGAGCGUCGUGCUAAUACUAAUCUGUUAACGCGAAGGUCUUGGGUUCGAUCCCCACGUUGGCCA